Molecule: long non-coding RNA, 3358 nt
Filed under: Apis mellifera (honey bee)
Lineage: Eukaryota; Metazoa; Arthropoda; Insecta; Hymenoptera; Apidae
Description: uncharacterized LOC113219182
Source: RNAcentral
UGCUUUCUUUUUUUUUUUCUUCGAUUCAAAUAUGCUUUAACAACAACGAGAAUUAACGAGGAAGUGAUUAUAAAUUAAAAAUUAAAUUAAAAAAAAGAGUUAUAAUUUUCUUCUUCUGCAACAAAUUUUAAGAAGAGAAAUUUUGAAAGGAGAAAAAUACCAGAACAUUACACAUUUUCACCGCUUGAAAAAAAUGAUACGUUUCCCCUGUUGAUUCACGUUUCCUUCCUUCCUUCUUUUCCUUAGUAAGUAAACAUACCAUACGUCCGUUUGUAAAGGUCGGUUUCCAAUUGUGAUUCGUCCACAAGUUGGAAACGCGUCCAACGAAGGAGAACAGCGAUGCGUAUUUCAACCCGCUCAGGCGAUACGACGGAUUCCUUAUUAUUACCAAAGAACAAAAUUCUAUGCCUCGAGAGAAUUUCUCGCUGGCCUAAGUCCUUUUUUUUUUUCCACCCUUUUUUUCCACUUAUCGAAUCGAUAUGAACGAAGAAGUUUCUCGUCGCUCUAUUAUCGUCCCUAUGGGACCAUUCUCGCGGCAAAUAAAACACGAGUUUUAUCAGGUUCUCCUGUGAGCAAAACGGCUCGUGGAUGUUCGAAGAAAUCGAUGAUAAUAAAUAUAACGAAGUUCCAAUUAAAGUUUCCAACGUGGUAUUAGAAAGAAAUGGACCUCGAAUAUAAAAUUUUUUAAAUAUUUAUUCAUUUAGUUUCCAAAUAGAUAAAUCGAUGAAAAUUUAUAUCGAAUUUUGUGAAUUGUAUCGAAUCAUACAGCGAUUAAUUCAACCAUUUUCGCUGCAGAUGUCGCGACGUGUCAGACGAUCUCAGUAUCUCGGCAGUAUCUUAACCUUCAAUUGCUUCAAAUGUGAAAAAGUGUGAAUUUUCGAUUCAUAACUAAAUAUCUAUAUACGGAAUCUUCGAAGCUCGAGAACCAGUCGACAUUUACGGAUGACAUAUCGUCGACGUACACGUCCGUCCGUUAAUUAAUCCCAAGGGUUUUCUUUACAAGCCUCGAUUUUCAAAUUGCCGUAGAAAAUGGUCGAUUGAAUUUCCGCGAAGGCCUUGCAAUUUCUUCCGGAAUAUGCCGUGUUCGAGGACCUCUUCCAAGAGCACUUGCCCAUGCCGAUUGUGAUUUUUCUCUUUUCACUUGACUUUUUAUGGAAAAAAGUGUAUAACAAUUUUCUCGAAUGUAAUUGAAAGCAAGAAAAGGCUUGUCGAAAGGAAGCUUAUCAAGAAAUGUUUCGAAAAAAAAAAAAAGAAAAAUGAAAUCAAUUCAUCCGAGAUAAAAUUUAAUUGAUAAAAUUGGCAAUUUUGUAUCAAUGAUAAUUUAAAAUGAAUUGAAAAAUACAAGAGAAAAUAUUGUAUCGUUAUAAAAGAAUAUAAAAAUAUCUUUUUUAAAAGAUGCAUUGUUUAAAUAUUUUUUAUUCUUCUUAGCAAGUAUAUAUUAAAAAUUUUUAAUUCUUUAAUAUCUAGAACAGAAAUAAAUAACUAAAAGUAAGAAGAAAAAUGAUAUAAAUAUUUAACGAGAAAUAUACAUAAAACAAAUUUAUAAUAUAGGAAGAGAUUCAAAUCUAUUUGGAAUAUUUUUGACAAAAUGGAUGUUCGAAUUAAAUCGAUCUUAUUUCAUCAACUAUAACUUUUAAUUUAUAAAUUAAUACGAUUAAUACAAAAUAAAAUUAAAAAUAAAAUUUUAAAUACAUCUCGUUACUUCUCCCAUAAUGUAAACAAAAUCAAAAAUUUUUUCAUAUAUUUUAACUAAUUUUUCGAAGAGAUCCUCGACAUCACCAAAUUUCGUUUCCUCGUUUCAAAGUUUUCAUUUUAUAAAUGCGCACAAAGUACUACGUAAAAGUGAUUGUAUCACUUAUUUUUAGGAUUAUAUAUCUUUGUAUCUGAAAUUAACGUGGAACCCGUCGCCUUCGACUGCAACGCCAUCUCCAACUUUCAAUAGGUAGAAUAUACAUGUAUACAGGAAUACGCAUUCCUAACGUAUUCCUAACGGGAGAUCGUGCGUUAAAAAUCGAUUACAAUGUACAGCGAUAAAAAACGUUACAAUCUGAUACGAUAUACAGAGUAAGUCCACCUUUCGAAGAAGAUAGAUGUACAUAUAGAUCGUUUAAAUAAACGCGAGAAAAGUACAGGAGUAUACUUAUGAUUUAAAGUUAAUCUGCGGUUUCAGCCUUUCAGUUUCGAGGGAAUGAAAUGGAAGAAUGAAAUCAAUCAAGAUUUACAAUUCGAAUCAUUAAUAACGAGUAAUUAAAUAAUUUCUAAAGAUAAAAAUACGAAGCAGUAAUUAUCUCGAAUUAUUUUUCAAGGAAUUUUGAAAAUCAUUUUUCUUAAAAUCCUUUUAAGAUUCCAGGCAAUUCAAAUACUGUGAUAAUUACUGGUUCAUUUUUUUAAACGUAUACAGGAUGUUUCAAAAACUUUGAAAGCUUCGAAGAGUAGUAAAAGAAAAUUUUUUUUAAAUAUCAUCGUUGUAAAACAUCCUAUAUAUCGUAAAAAAAAAUAUUGUGCAUUGAACCGAUCGAUGUAUCGAUCGAUAGAAAAUUAGAAAAAUUAAACCGUUCCAUCUUCCGUUGAAUAAAUAUUAUCGAUACAAUUCCCAAUUUCAUCGUGAUCGUCGCAAGUGGAAACGCUGUUACGUGUUGAGUUAAACGAAAGCAAUUGGUUCCCUUCAACACCGAAAAGCUACACGGAAUUACGAAACACAUCGCAAAAGGCACUUUCACUCAACAUUCAAUCGAACCAAAUCGCUUCGUUUAAUUUUCUCUCUUCUUUUUUUAUUUUUAUUUUUUAUUUUUUAUUUUUUUUUUUUUCCUUUUUAAAGUUCACUUCUCUCACAACUCAAUUUACAUUUUUCCCUAUCUUUAACUUCUUCUCUCAUAUUUUCAUACGUACUUUGUCGCUUUUUCUCGCUCUCAUUCUCUUCCAGCUUUGCAAGAGCAUACAAAAAGUUGGAAUCGCGCAAAAUGCAAAAAGUGGAGACACCACUUAUUUCUUCUUUCAUUCAUAUGAUUUUCUUUGGCUGUUCUUUUUUUUUUUUUUUUUUUUUUUCUUCUUAUUUUCCUCUCCUCCCUUUUUUUUCUUCUAGUUUUCUCCUCUUAAUAAAUACACGGUGUCCCAAUUUAAAAAAGGUAGAGAUAUAUAAUAAUAUAAUAUAUAUAUACAGAGUAAGAUUCCUCGAAAGAACAUUAUUCACUUUUUCUCGGUAUGAGAUUUAAUUAAUUAAUUAAUUAAUUAAUUAAUUUUUUCAUUGGAUCACAGAAUGAUAGCGCCCGAGCGUGGCAAUCUCUUCUUGAAGACGUUUCGAAAACGACCUGCCUAUAUGAAUACACAUAGAAAAUCUUGCUGUUCGUGAAAAAAAAAA